UACGUAGGUGGCAAGCGUUGUCCGGAUUUACUGGGCGUAAAGAGCGCGCAGGCGGGCGUACAAGUCGCGUGUGAAAGCCCCCGGCUCAACUGGGGAGGGUCACGCGAUACUGUUCGACUCGAAGGCAGGAGAGGGAAGUGGAAUUCCCGGUGUAGUGGUGAAAUGCGUAGAUAUCGGGAGGAACACCAGUGGCGAAGGCGACUUCCUGGCCUGUUCUUGACGCUGAGGCGCGAAAGCUAGGGUAGCAAACGGG
RNAcentral lists this ribosomal RNA (253 nucleotides) under uncultured bacterium. RNAcentral's name for it is "partial 16S ribosomal RNA". It matches the Rfam family "Bacterial small subunit ribosomal RNA", at positions 524 to 776 of the family's 1533-position model. The record is from RNAcentral.